RNAcentral lists this ribosomal RNA (253 nucleotides) under uncultured bacterium. RNAcentral describes it as "partial 16S ribosomal RNA". It matches the Rfam family "Bacterial small subunit ribosomal RNA", at positions 524 to 776 of the family's 1533-position model. The record is from RNAcentral.
UACGUAGGUGGCAAGCGUUGUCCGGAUUUAUUGGGUUUAAAGGGUGCGUAGGCGGCCCUGUAAGUCAGUGCUGAAAUAUCCCGGCUUAACCGGGAGGGUGGCAUUGAUACUGCGGGGCUAGAGUACAGAUGAGGUAGGCGGAAUUGACGGUGUAGCGGUGAAAUGCUUAGAUAUCGUCAAGAACACCUAUAGCGAAGGCAGCUUACUAGGCUGUAACUGACGCUGAGGUGCGAAAGCGUGGGGAGCAAACAGG